This 610-nucleotide ribosomal RNA is filed under the name Marinobacter sp. Its description in RNAcentral is "bacterial SSU rRNA". It matches the Rfam family "Bacterial small subunit ribosomal RNA", at positions 44 to 644 of the family's 1533-position model. The record is from RNAcentral. Lineage: Bacteria; Pseudomonadati; Pseudomonadota; Gammaproteobacteria; Pseudomonadales; Marinobacteraceae.
GGGCAGCUUACACAUGCAGUCGAGCGGUAACAGGGGGUGCUUGCACCCCGCUGACGAGCGGCGGACGGGUGAGUAAUGCAUAGGAAUCUGCCCAGUAGUGGGGGAUAGCCCGGGGAAACCCGGAUUAAUACCGCAUACGCCCUUUGGGGGAAAGCAGGGGAUCUUCGGACCUUGCGCUAUUGGAUGAGCCUAUGUCGGAUUAGCUAGUUGGUGGGGUAAAGGCCUACCAAGGCGACGAUCCGUAGCUGGUCUGAGAGGAUGAUCAGCCACAUCGGGACUGAGACACGGCCCGAACUCCUACGGGAGGCAGCAGUGGGGAAUAUUGGACAAUGGGGGCAACCCUGAUCCAGCCAUGCCGCGUGUGUGAAGAAGGCUUUCGGGUUGUAAAGCACUUUCAGUGAGGAGGAAAACCUUCUGGUUAAUACCCAUGAGGCUUGACGUUACUCACAGAAGAAGCACCGGCUAACUCCGUGCCAGCAGCCGCGGUAAUACGGAGGGUGCAAGCGUUAAUCGGAAUUACUGGGCGUAAAGCGCGCGUAGGUGGUUUGAUAAGCGAGAUGUGAAAGCCCCGGGCUUAACCUGGGAACGGCAUUUCGAACUGUCAGGCUAG